CGGCGAGUGAAGCGGCAACAGCUCAAAUUUGAAAUCUGGCCCUUUCAGGGUCCGAGUUGUAAUUUGUAGAGGGCGCUUUGGUGUUGGCUGCGGUCUAAGUUCCUUGGAACAGGACGUCACAGAGGGUGAGAAUCCCGUACGUGGUCGACAGUCUCCACCGUGUAAAGCCCCUUCGACGAGUCGAGUUGUUUGGGAAUGCAGCUCUAAAUGGGAGGUAAAUUUCUUCUAAAGCUAAAUAUUGGCCAGAGACCGAUAGCGCACAAGUAGAGUGAUCGAAAGAUGAAAAGCACUUUGGAAAGAGAGUCAAAAAGCACGUGAAAUUGUUGAAAGGGAAGCGCUUGCAAUCAGACUUGCCUGUAGUUGCUCAUCUAGGCUUUUGCCUGGUGCACUCUUCUGCGGGCAGGCCAGCAUCAGUUCAGGCGGCUGGAUAAAGACCUCUAUCACGUAUCUUCCUUCGGGAUGACCUUAUAGGGGAGGUGUAAUGCAGCCAGCCUGGAUUGAGGUCCGCGCAUUCGCUAGGAUGCUGGCGUAAUGAUUGUAAGCGGCCCGUCUUGAAACACGGACCAAGGAGUCUAACAUCUAUGCGAGUGUUUGGGUGUCAAGCCCGGACGCGCAAUGAAAGUGAACGGAGGUGGGAACCCUCACGGGUGCACCAUCGACCGAUCCUGAUGUCUUCGGAUGGAUUUGAGUAAGAGCAUAGCUGUUGGGACCCGAAAGAUGGUGAACUAUGCCUGAAUAGGGUGAAGCCAGAGGAAACUCUGGUGGAGGCUCGCAGCGGUUCUGACGUGCAAAUCGAUCGUCAAAUUUGGGCAUAGGGGCGAAAGACUAAUCGAACUAUCUAGUAGCUGGUUCCUGCCGAAGUUUCCCUCAGGAUAGCAGUAACGUUUUCAGUUUUAUGAGGUAAAGCGAAUGAUUAGAGGCCUGGGGGUUGAAACAACCUUCACCUAUUCUCAAACUUUAAAUAUGUAAGAAGUCCUU
This 978-nucleotide ribosomal RNA is filed under the name Nigrograna antibiotica. Its description in RNAcentral is "eukaryotic LSU rRNA". It matches the Rfam family "Eukaryotic large subunit ribosomal RNA", at positions 87 to 1085 of the family's 3401-position model. The record is from RNAcentral. Lineage: Eukaryota; Fungi; Ascomycota; Dothideomycetes; Pleosporales; Nigrogranaceae.